RNAcentral lists this unclassified non-coding RNA (692 nucleotides) under Pedicularis nasuta. RNAcentral describes it as "sequence contains ITS1, 5.8S rRNA gene and ITS2". The stretch from base 267 to 422 matches the Rfam family "5.8S ribosomal RNA". The record is from RNAcentral. Lineage: Eukaryota; Viridiplantae; Streptophyta; Magnoliopsida; Lamiales; Orobanchaceae.
UUUCCGUAGGUGAACCUGCGGAAGGAUCAUUGUCGAAUCCUGCAAAAGCAGACCGCGAACAUGUUAAACCAUAUUGGGACCGCGGGUCUUUGGGGAGACCCUUUGCCCGCGCCCAUCUCUCGCACAGCGUGCGCCUAGGCGCGCGUGGUGCGGGCUAACGAACCCCGGCGCGGCAUGCGCCAAGGAAAACUCACAGAAACGUCGGCCUCCCAUCGCCCCGUUCGCGGUGCGCGGUGGGGGAACUGAUGUCUCUUCAAUGUCAUAACGACUCUCGGCAACGGAUAUCUCGGCUCUCGCAUCGAUGAAGAACGCAGCNNNNNNNNNNNNNNGGUGUGAAUUGCAGAAUCCCGUGAACCAUCGAGUCUUUGAACGCAAGUUGCGCCCGAAGCCAUUCGGCUGAGGGCACGUCUGCCUGGGCGUCACGCAUCGCGUCGCCUCCCUCACCCACACCCCACGGGGCGAUUGGGUGUUGGGGGCGGAAAUUGGCCCCCCGUGCACUUUUGUCGUGCGGCCGGCCUAAAUGUGAACCCGUGUCGACUCGCGUCACGACCAGUGGUGGUUGAAGACUCAACUCUCGUGCUAUCGUGUCGUUUUGAGUUGGCUUGUGGGUUUUUGUCGCAGACCCAACGGCGCGAGCCUAUCGCGCCUUCGACCGCGACCCCAGGUCAGGCGGGAUUACCCGCUGAGUUUAA